RNAcentral lists this ribosomal RNA (497 nucleotides) under uncultured bacterium. Its description in RNAcentral is "partial 16S ribosomal RNA". It matches the Rfam family "Bacterial small subunit ribosomal RNA", at positions 28 to 507 of the family's 1533-position model. The record is from RNAcentral.
GACGAACGCUGGCGGCGUGCCUAAUACAUGCAAGUUGAGCGCUGAAGGUUGGUACUUGUACCAACUGGAUGAGCAGCGAACGGGUGAGUAACGCGUGGGGAAUCUGCCUUUGAGCGGGGGACAACAUUUGGAAACGAAUGCUAAUACCGCAUAAAAACUUUAAACACAAGUUUUAAGUUUGAAAGAUGCAAUUGCAUCACUCAAAGAUGAUCCCGCGUUGUAUUAGCUAGUUGGUGAGGUAAAGGCUCACCAAGGCGAUGAUACAUAGCCGACCUGAGAGGGUGAUCGGCCACAUUGGGACGGAGACACGGCCCAAACUCCUACGGGAGGCAGCAGUAGGGAAUCUUCGGCAAUGGACGAAAGUCUGACCGAGCAACGCCGCGUGAGUGAAGAAGGUUUUCGGAACGUAAAACUCUGUUGGUAGAGAAGAACGUUGGUGAGAGUGGAAAGCUCAUCAAGUGACGGUAACUACACAGAAAGGGACGGCUAACUACGUG